ACUAAGCGGAGGAAAAGAAACCAACGGGGAUUCCCCCAGUAGCGGCGAGCGAAGCGGGAUAAGCCCAGCACCGAAUCGCCCGCGUCUUGUUGACGGCGCGGUUUUGCGACAUGUGGUGUGUGGGAGCGCCUUUGGGUUGCGUUUGUAAGCCGCGUCCAAGUCCUCGUGAGCGAGGCAUCGGUCCCAUAGCGGGUGGAAGGCCCGUGGCGACGCGCGAGCGCUUCCMUCUGAGCCGCUCCUCGGAGUCGGGUUGUUUGUGAAUGCAGCCCAAAGUGGGUGGUAAACUCCAUCUAAGGCUAAAUACGGGCGCGAGGCCGAUAGCGAACAAGUACCGUGAGGGAAAGU
RNAcentral lists this ribosomal RNA (345 nucleotides) under Manayunkia athalassia. RNAcentral describes it as "eukaryotic LSU rRNA". It matches the Rfam family "Eukaryotic large subunit ribosomal RNA", at positions 45 to 364 of the family's 3401-position model. Lineage: Eukaryota; Metazoa; Annelida; Polychaeta; Sabellida; Fabriciidae. The record is from RNAcentral.